Podarcis lilfordi (Lilford's wall lizard) is the source of this 65-nucleotide non-coding RNA. The record is from the annotation of a GenBank genome assembly. NCBI's taxonomy places the organism in Eukaryota, Metazoa, Chordata, Lepidosauria, Squamata, Lacertidae.
GCCAGUGUGGCACAAUGGUUAGAGUAUCUGACCAGGAGACCAGGGUUCAAAUCCCUACUCAGGCA